Molecule: long non-coding RNA, 642 nt
Organism: Clupea harengus (Atlantic herring)
Lineage: Eukaryota; Metazoa; Chordata; Actinopteri; Clupeiformes; Clupeidae
Source: Ensembl
CCCUCGAGUGUAAUUGCCUAAUUGCUUUUUUUUCCCUCCUCCAUCCAGGGGCUCUGCUUAACGUCAGCUGGGCAGGAGCUCAUAAACAGGGCCACGGCGGCUGGAAGCAUCUCCCUCAAUGUCAGAGGCUCAGAGAAGAGAGCCUGGAGAUCUGAGGCUGGGCCGGGGGGUCUGCUGGCGGCCGAGCCCACACCCAUUGGUUGAACCCGGGAUGAAUGGCCUCGCUGACAGCCAAUGGGGCCAGUGGAGGACGGCCCGUCUGCCUCCUGUAAUAUCACAUCCCCAACAGAACAAGAACAGCAGGAAGGAAGGAAGGAAGGAAGAGGAUAAAUCGCAGCUCGCUGCUUGUUUGACUCUCAGGGCUUAUUCAACCCUCUGGGUGGGCUUGGACUGGGCUCGACCGUGCGGCUGCUCUGUUCCAUCAGCGGGCCUUCUGGCUCCACUACAGAGAGCGGAUCACUUCAGGACAUCAUCAUCUCACAGCAUCUCCUGCUCCUGCUCCUGCUCCUGCUCCUGCUCCUGCUCCUGCUCCUGCUCCUGCUCCUGCUCCAGGCGUGGCCCAGGGGUUUAUCUGACACACUGCCUCCUCUGGUGUGGGUGUAUUCCUUUUUGUUGUAAACAUUGUGAGAUUAUUCAACUUCA